This 574-nucleotide ribosomal RNA is filed under the name Vishniacozyma victoriae. Its description in RNAcentral is "partial large subunit ribosomal RNA". It matches the Rfam family "Eukaryotic large subunit ribosomal RNA", at positions 95 to 656 of the family's 3401-position model. The record is from RNAcentral. Lineage: Eukaryota; Fungi; Basidiomycota; Tremellomycetes; Tremellales; Bulleribasidiaceae.
GAACCGGGAUGAAGCUUCAAAUUUAAAAUCUGGCGUCUUUCAGGCGUCCGAAGUUGUAAUCUAUAGAGGCGUUUUCCGCGCCGGACCGCGUCCAAGUCUCUUGGAAUAGAGUAUCAAAGAGGGUGACAAUCCCGUACUUGACGCGACAACCGGUGCUCUGUGAUACGUUCUCAAUGAGUCGAGUUGUUUGGGAAUGCAGCUCUAAAUGGGUGGUAAAUUCCAUCUAAGGCUAAAUAUUGGCGAGAGACCGAUAGCGAACAAGUACCGUGAGGGAAAGAUGAAAAGCACUUUGGAAAGAGAGUUAAACAGCACGUGAAAUUGUUAAAAGGGAAACGAUUGAAGUCAGUCGUGUGAAAGGUAUUCAGCCGUCUCUGGCGGUGUAUUUGCCUUUCACGGGUCAACAUCAGUUUGAUCCGGUAGAAAAAGGCGGGAGGAAGGUGGCACCCUCGGGUGUGUUAUAGCCUCCUGUCAUAUGUGCCGGACCAGACUGAGGAACGCAGCUUGCCGCAAGGCCGGGGUUCGCCCACGUACAAGCUUAGGAUGUUGACAUAAUGGCUUUAAACGACCCGUCUUG